Molecule: ribosomal RNA, 254 nt
Filed under: uncultured bacterium
Lineage: Bacteria
Description: partial 16S ribosomal RNA
Rfam family: Bacterial small subunit ribosomal RNA
Source: RNAcentral
UACAGAGGGGGCAAGCGUUAUUCGGAAUUAUUGGGCGUAAAGGGCGCGUAGGCGGCUCAGUAAGUCAGGUGUGAAAACUCCAGGCUCAACCUGGAGACGCCACCUGAUACUGCUGUGGCUAGAGUCCGGUAGGGGAGCAUGGAAUUCCUGGUGUAGCGGUGAAAUGCGCAGAUAUCAGGAGGAACACCAGUGGCGAAGGCGGUGCUCUGGGCCGGAACUGACGCUGAGGAGCGAAAGCGUGGGGAGCAAACAGG